AUUGAACGCUGGCGGCAUGCCUUACACAUGCAAGUCGAACGGUAACGCGGGGCAACCUGGCGACGAGUGGCGAACGGGUGAGUAAUGCAUCGGAACGUGCCCAGUAGUGGGUGAUAGCUCGGCGAAAGCCGGAUUAAUACCGCAUACGACCUACGGGUGAAAGCGGGGGACCGUAAGGCCUCGCGCUAUUGGAGCGGCCG
This 200-nucleotide ribosomal RNA is filed under the name uncultured bacterium. Its description in RNAcentral is "partial 16S ribosomal RNA". It matches the Rfam family "Bacterial small subunit ribosomal RNA", at positions 30 to 232 of the family's 1533-position model. The record is from RNAcentral.